RNAcentral lists this ribosomal RNA (492 nucleotides) under uncultured bacterium. Its description in RNAcentral is "partial 16S ribosomal RNA". It matches the Rfam family "Bacterial small subunit ribosomal RNA", at positions 29 to 507 of the family's 1533-position model. The record is from RNAcentral.
AGUGAACGCUGGCGGUAGGCCUAACACAUGCAAGUCGAACGGCAGCACAGUAAGCGCUUGCUCUUACGGGUGGCGAGUGGCGGACGGGUGAGGAAUACAUCGGAAUCUACUUUUUCGUGGGGGAUAACGUAGGGAAACUUACGCUAAUACCGCAUACGACCUACGGGUGAAAGCAGGGGAUCUUCGGACCUUGCGCGAUUGAAUGAGCCGAUGUCGGAUUAGCUAGUUGGCGGGGUAAAGGCCCACCAAGGCGACGAUCCGUAGCUGGUCUGAGAGGAUGAUCAGCCACACUGGAACUGAGACACGGUCCAGACUCCUACGGGAGGCAGCAGUAGGGAAUAUUGGACAAUGGGCGCAAGCCUGAUCCAGCCAUACCGCGUGGGUGAAGAAGGCCUUCGGGUUGUAAAGCCCUUUUGUUGGGAAAGAAAAGCAGUGGGUUAAUACCUCGCUGUUCUGACGGUACCCAAAGAAUAAGCACCGGCUAACUUCGUG